UACGUAGGGACCCAGCGUUGUUCGGAUUUACUGGGCGUAAAGGGCGCGUAGGCGGCAAUUCAAGUCAGCUGUGAAAUCUCCGGGCUUAACUCGGAAAGGUCAACUGAUACUGUGCGACUAGAGUGCAGAAGGGGCAACUGGAAUUCUCGGUGUAGUGGUGAAAUGCGUAGAUAUCGAGAGGAACACCUGCGGCGAAGGCGGGUUGCUGGGCUGACACUGACGCUGAUGCGCGAAAGCCAGGGGAGCGAACGGG
This 253-nucleotide ribosomal RNA is filed under the name uncultured bacterium. Its description in RNAcentral is "partial 16S ribosomal RNA". It matches the Rfam family "Bacterial small subunit ribosomal RNA", at positions 524 to 776 of the family's 1533-position model. The record is from RNAcentral.